UUAGAGUUUGAUCCUGGCUCAGGAUGAACGCUAGCGGCAGGCCUAACACAUGCAAGUCGAGGGGCAGCACGGGUAGCAAUACCUGGUGGCGACCGGCGCACGGGUGAGUAACGCGUAUGAAACCUGCCCCCCGCUGGGGGAUAGCCCGUCGAAAGGCGGAUUAAUACCCCAUAGUUCCCCCGGACCACCUGGUCUGGGGGGUAAAGUUUUGGCGGCGGGGGAUGGUCAUGCGUGCCAUUAGCUAGUUGGCGGGGUAAUAGCCCACCAAGGCGAUGAUGGCUAGGGGGUCUGAGAGGAUGGUCCCCCACACUGGUACUGAGACACGGACCAGACUCCUACGGGAGGCAGCAGUGAGGAAUAUUGGUCAAUGGGCGAAAGCCUGAACCAGCCAUGCCGCGUGCAGGAAGACGGCCCUACGGGUUGUAAACUGCUUUUGUACGGGAAGAAUGGCCCCCUCGUGAGGGGGUUUGACGGUACCGUACGAAUAAGGAUCGGCUAACUCCGUGCCAGCAGCCGCGGUAAUACGGAGGAUCCGAGCGUUAUCCGGAUUUACUGGGUUUAAAGGGUGCGUAGGCGGACGCCUAAGUCAGCGGUGAAAGGCAGCGGCUCAACCGUUGGAUUGCCGUUGAAACUGGGCGUCUUGGAUUCGGUCGAGGCCGGCGGAAUGCGUGGUGUAGCGGUGAAAUGCAUAGAUAUACCACAGAACACCGAUUGCGAAGGCAGCUUACUAAACUGUCACUGACGCUGAUGCACGAAAGCGUGGGUAUCAAACAGGAUUAGAUACCCUGGUAGUCCACGCUGUAAACGAUAAUGGCUGGUUGUUUGCGAUACCCCGCAAGGGACUGAGGGAAAGCAUUAAGUAAUCCACCUGGGGAGUACGUCGGCAACGAUGAAACUCAAAGGAAUUGACGGGGGCCCGCACAAGCGGAGGAACAUGUGGUUUAAUUCGAUGAUACGCGAGGAACCUUACCUGGGUUUAAAUGGGGAGUGACAGGCUUGGAAACAGGCCCAUAUUCGGACACUCUUCAAGGUGCUGCAUGGUUGUCGUCAGCUCGUGCCGUGAGGUGUCGGGUUAAGUCCCAUAACGAGCGCAACCCCUAUCGAUAGUUACCAGCACGCUACGGUGGGGAGUCUAUCGAGACUGCCGGUGUAAACCGUGAGGAGGGUGGGGAGGACGUCAAAUCAGCACGGCCCUUACAUCCAGGGCUACACACGUGUUACAAUGGCCGGUACAAAGGGCAGCUACACAGCGAUGUGAUGCUAAUCUCCAAAUCCGGUCUCAGUUCGGAUCGAAGUCUGCAACCCGACUUCGUGAAGCUGGAUUCGCUAGUAAUCGCGCAUCAGCCAUGGCGCGGUGA
RNAcentral lists this ribosomal RNA (1358 nucleotides) under uncultured bacterium. RNAcentral's name for it is "bacterial SSU rRNA". It matches the Rfam family "Bacterial small subunit ribosomal RNA", at positions 1 to 1365 of the family's 1533-position model. The record is from RNAcentral.